CACACCGCCCGUCACACCAUGGGAGUCAGUUGCUCCAGAAGUGGCUGAGCCAACCCGCAAGGGGGCAGGUCCCUAAGGAGUGGCUGGUAACUGGGGUG
Molecule: ribosomal RNA, 98 nt
Filed under: uncultured bacterium
Lineage: Bacteria
Description: partial 16S ribosomal RNA
Rfam family: Bacterial small subunit ribosomal RNA
Source: RNAcentral